GACGAACCGUCCAAACGUUAUUCGGAAUCACUGGGCUUACAGAGUUCGUAGGCGGUCUGGAAAGUUGGGUGUGAAAUCCCUCGGCUCAACCGAGGAACUGCGCUCAAAAACUACCCGACUCGAGGGAGAUAGAGGAAAGCGGAACUGAUGGUGGAGCGGUGAAAUGCGUUGAUAUCAUCAGGAACACCGGUGGCGAAGGCGGCUUUCUGGGACGGUACUGACGCUGAGACGCGAAAGCGUGGGGAGCAAACAGG
This 254-nucleotide ribosomal RNA is filed under the name uncultured bacterium. RNAcentral's name for it is "partial 16S ribosomal RNA". It matches the Rfam family "Bacterial small subunit ribosomal RNA", at positions 524 to 776 of the family's 1533-position model. The record is from RNAcentral.